This 3950-nucleotide long non-coding RNA is filed under the name Monomorium pharaonis (pharaoh ant). RNAcentral's name for it is "uncharacterized LOC118645321, transcript variant X2". Lineage: Eukaryota; Metazoa; Arthropoda; Insecta; Hymenoptera; Formicidae. The record is from RNAcentral.
GGAAAUUACACGCUCGUUGGCGGCGUGAAGUUGGCCGCGAAAUCUCCGAAUUCGCUAAGUUCGCUUUGCCAUUCGUUUGCCCUGAUUCACGAAGUCGCGAGCGAGUCGCUUCCUAAUCUGUGAUCGUACUGCGUAAUCUCUCUUGAUCCUAUUGGGUGUCUGUGUCAAAGUGCGCUUCGAGUUUGAUUAACCUCGGGAGUGCCGUACUAAGUGUGAUCGUCGCAUUAUUUCGGGGAUACGCGGCCGGUCAAGGUUAACUGUGUUUUCCCAAGUGCAUAUGAGAGCUACGAAGGAAAAAGAGAUGAGGAGGAGAAGGAAGAGGAAGAGGCUCGGAGAGGCAUCGAGCGACAGUGAAGCAGCCACAGGAUAAUGUGAACUACAAUGCCACCGCCACAUCGCACUGGGAGUCCCCGCAACGGACCCCGCGAUUUUUCGCGAUGCUCGAUGAGGAAAGGUGCCGCGAAGAUGCAAAUCGCACACGGCCGAGCGGCCGUAUCGCGUCCCGUUCCCGCGGCGAUUUGCAUAUUCCAUGCUUUUCGAUAUCUGUCCGAGCCGGUGUACCACAUCUCGCGUUUCGAGGUAAGUAUUACACUCUCAUAGCGGCGAAACGUAACCAGGUCCAGCGGUGCCAUUUUCCCACCGAUAUCUGCCCAUCGCGGCUCGGAUGCUCUCGCGAUGCAACGCGAUUUUCCGACGUGCGCGUCUGCGCGCGUUUUUCCUUCGCUUUAUUAUUUUUUUUUUUUCCCCACGCGAGGAACGUGCGUUGGCGAAUAAUUUCUAAAUUCCCCGUCCUAAAUUUACCGCGCUAACGACAAAUUUCCACACGCGAGAUUUCCCGCGCGGCGCCCUAAUGACGAUUUCGCACGCGAGAUUUUCUACGCGCCAAUGACGAUUUUCUAUGCACUCUUUUUCGCACGGCGAUUGUCGAUGAGAAAAAAAACUGGCUCCGCGCAAUACAUAUAUGUAUAAAACACGCGUGAUUCCGCACGCGAGUAACAAUCGCGCUAAUGCCAACGCGGCACGCUACACAUUUUUCCGGCGAAAUUUUCCGAGCGGCGAAUUUUUCCGGCGAUCUCACCUUCGGCGAAAGGGUCGCCGGGUGCUAAAAGAGCGCGCGUCGUCUGUUCACGAGUGCUAAGAGCGAACCGGAGCAAAGUCAACGACCGGCUGUUAAUCGACUUUACAUGAUAAUAGGCCGAAGCAAAUCGUGCCACGGUUGCCUCCUCUAGAAAGUUCGAUUCGUGUGCAGGAAAGUCGAUUACUCCGUGAGACAAGAGGUUGCUCGAAGACCUACGACGCUCCGAUAUAGAGUCCCUUUUAAGCUUGGACUUGCCGCAACGAGCUCCGGAACGAAGGAACGCGAGCGUGUCCCGCGUUCUCCAGUCUUCUAAUCCCCUCGGUAUCGAACCUUUAUUUAUUAGCCGCGCCGUUCCACCAUCCUCUGACCUAUUUUCACUUGAGAUAUAAUCGUUCUCUAUUAAGGUUAUCCAUUCUAAUGCUUUUACUUUCUAUACUUCAUUUUUUUAAGCUUUUAUUUCUGAAUUGUGCAUUUCUAGGAUUCAGAAAAAUGAACAAACGUGUGAAUAAAUUUUUGCAAUGUAUUUUUUUUAAUUGUUCUGUCAAUUAUAAAAAAAAUUAAUUUAAAAAUUUCGCAUGCGUUUCAUGAGCGUAAGUAAAUUUUAUCGGUAAAGAAUUAUUUAUGCAAAUGCAAGCCCCGCGAGAGAUUCUUUCCCUUAUUUUCUCGCUUCUGACGUCAUAAGACAAGACUCUUAACUCCAAGAAGGUAUCUCGUAAACAUCGCAUAAGGAAUAAAUUUGUAAAUUAAGGGGCAGCUAUACUAAGUGGAUUGCCUCUCUCGAGUACGUGAAGCACGUAUUUCAGUAAUUUCGCAACGCCGUUGUACUCUCGUGUCACGGAAAAUAUGAUUUUUAUUGUCAGAGAUAUGCCUUUUUCUGAAACAAGUAACACAACCGCGCGUUGACAACGUGCUUUUCAUUAGCAUCGCGAAAUUGCUAGACCAUUUAAGUAUCGCUGGGUCUCGUGCUGUACAGCACAAAGUUUAUUGCACCCAUAGAAAUAAAUAAAAGAAUGGUUUUUAAGUACACAAAAAAUGAGAGAGUAAUGAGAAUCAUUUAUCUAAAAUUUCAUAAUAAUUCAAUAAAAUUAAUAAUAACUAUUAAGUGUAGAUUUUUGAACAAUAUUAUUAAUUUUGAACGAUUUAAUCGAUUUUGUUAAAAUCGAUCAAACACUAUAUUGGCAAAUUGAAAUGUAUUAAUUUUUUCAGUUGAAAAUGUUCAUCAUAUUAAUGAAGUUGUACAAAGUGUAAAUGAGAGGGAAGGCCAUAAUACUAACUUUAUCUCUAAUAUUCCCUUAAGAUUAUUAUGACAGAAAGUUUUGUGCGCGUAGUUCUGAGCCGCAAGAGAGCGAGCUGAGAACUUUGGUGUUUGGAGUCGAUCUCCGCUGGUAUUCCAGUCGUUACUGGACCGUGGUGAGCACCAGGCAUCAGGUGGGCGUAGGUAGUACCUACGCACUCUCAGGGAGAACCCGGAGGCACCUGCGUGCCGCCCACGAGGCAACCAAGGCACUUCGGGCAAAAGCGUCCCGGACAGCCGUUGCCCAUUCGAUUCGAUUAGCCGGCGAGCGAUGAAGAUCUUAAUGUUAUUCGCCGCGUAAUCGCCCAUCUGAAAUCUCCGCUUCUCGACGGAGAGAUAGAUAAAUGGGAAAACACACGCUUGCGCGCGCGCACAAAUAAUGAAGCUUCCGUAUAUACACCGUGGCAGAUGGCUCGUGGAAGAUCCCAACUGCCAUUUUCUACAUCCGUCCUUCGAAAGAGUGCGAUUAAAAUGCGAUCGUCAUGAAUCACUCCGGGCUAUUAUUACAACGAUACGGACACGUCGAUUUUAUGUACUCUUCGGUUUAUUUAUUUUUAUAAUUCCUAAAUCUCCAUGAAUCGUCUCACACGCGCCACGUCCGAGCUUCUGAAUCCAAGAGGAAGUGUUUCGCAGGCUUGAUUAACCAUGAGAGAAAAAAAGAACAAUCGUUACGUCGAUAAAUCCAACUUUCGAAAUACGUGCGUAUACUCAUAAUGACUACACAGGAAGCGAUAUUAAAGAGAUUAGACUUUGCGUGUGGCUUUCGUGAUUUUAGACGAAUUGCCGUCGGCUUUGGUUUUUUACGUACUCCUUUUAAAUUCUUCUUGUGACCAUUAUUGCCGAGAACGCCUUUCCUAUCAAAUUUGAUGAAUGUGCGCGCGCGAUCGGCUACUUAAGGAAAAAAAAAUCAUAGAUUUCUCUUCUUAAUGAAGUUCCACGCGAACACAAAAUAAACAUCGUUCAGAGACUUAUGUACUCUUCUAAUUUCACACUUUCCCAUUUCUAUUGAUCAUUUCGACAAAAUUCCGCUUUGCAAAUAUCCUUCACAAAACUAACGACAAUUCUUUCACAUAUCUCUUAAAUUAUUGUAUUUUAUUAAUACUUACAUCGUUAUAAAGACAUCAUUAUAAAAACUUAAAAAUCUUUAACUGCCUGCUGUAAUAAAUAAAUUUUAUUACAUUUCGCUUUAAUUAUUUUUAUUUUAAAUAAAUAAUUUUUUUACUGUAUGAAGCAUUUCUUAUUUUAAUAUGCUAUCUAUUAUUUUAGAAAAGCUAAUUGAUUUAAUAUUACGAAUAUUCGAUAUAAACCAUAAUCGUUCCAAGAAUCAUUUUUCUAGCCAAGAUUCAACCGUGUUAUUUUCGUGUUAUUUCUGCACUAUAAAUCGUGAAUCAUAGCCUAUGUGAUAGCUUUUGAAUCGUAAAUCACGGCUACAUAUUUUAAGGCAUUUUACUAAUCAUAUCAUUAUUCGCUUUAUUAUCUACGUUACGUAAGUCUGAGAAUCUUUAUCUAAAUAAACAAAAGAGCGAUAAACGUACCACUUCAUUCACGUGGGCUAAAAGUCAUCAGCAAAAAAAAAAA